AUUGAACGCUGGCGGCAUGCCUUACACAUGCAAGUCGAACGGCAGCACGGGAGCAAUCCUGGUGGCGAGUGGCGAACGGGUGAGUAAUAUAUCGGAACGUGCCCGGUCGUGGGGGAUAACGUAGCGAAAGCUACGCUAAUACCGCAUACGAUCUACGGAUGAAAGCGGGGGAUCGCAAGACCUCGCGCGAUUGGAGCGGCCGAUAUCAGAUUAGGUAGUUGGUGAGGUAAAGGCUCACCAAGCCGACGAUCUGUAGCUGGUCUGAGAGGACGACCAGCCACACUGGGACUGAGACACGGCCCAGACUCCUACGGGAGGCAGCAGUGGGGAAUUUUGGACAAUGGGCGCAAGCCUGAUCCAGCAAUGCCGCGUGCAGGAUGAAGGCCUUCGGGUU
This 394-nucleotide ribosomal RNA is filed under the name uncultured bacterium. RNAcentral describes it as "bacterial SSU rRNA". It matches the Rfam family "Bacterial small subunit ribosomal RNA", at positions 30 to 424 of the family's 1533-position model. The record is from RNAcentral.